RNAcentral lists this ribosomal RNA (119 nucleotides) under Aegilops tauschii subsp. strangulata. The record is from RNAcentral. Lineage: Eukaryota; Viridiplantae; Streptophyta; Magnoliopsida; Poales; Poaceae.
GGAUGCGAUCAUAGCAGCACUAAAGCACCGUAUCCCAUCAGAACUCCGAAGUUAAGCGUGCUUGGGCGAGAGUAGUACUAGGAUGGGUGACCUCCUGGGAAGUCCUCGUGUUGCAUUCC